UUGAGCCUAGUUACUCUGUGAUUGAACAAUGUUUGUCAAAUAAAAACAAAAAUACUACAAUAGCUAAAAACAAAAAAUUUUACCAACUAAACAAGGUCUGACAAGUUGGGAGAAAGCGAAGUCAGUCUAAACCAAACGGAGAUUAGAUUUGCAUGGGUUCGAUCUCUGCAGCUUUCCUUUGUCUGCCGACUGAAUAAACACGGGCAGGUAGUCGUUUGUCGCCGCGAUCUUGCCACUGCAGUUUUCUUACACUAAUAAUAACAUAAUACAAUUAAUUGCAUCCAUAGUGUAUCUACUCUACAUUUCUUUUCAUCAAUAGGACACUCCUAAUAACCGAGAAACUGCAUGGUUUGUAUAUUCGUUAAUUAGGGAUGACGUGACGCUACACAAUUAAAGAAGAGAGGACAAAAUGGUUUCUUAGAUAAAAAAAACAUAUUCAAUACAGAUAUGGAGGGAGU
Molecule: long non-coding RNA, 458 nt
Filed under: Sorghum bicolor (sorghum)
Lineage: Eukaryota; Viridiplantae; Streptophyta; Magnoliopsida; Poales; Poaceae
Description: long non-coding RNA (SBIC_LNC004443)
Source: RNAcentral